UACGUAGGUGGCAAGCGUUGUCCGGAAUUAUUGGGCGUAAAGCGCGCGCAGGCGGUCCUUUAAGUCUGAUGUGAAAGCCCACGGCUCAACCGUGGAGGGUCAUUGGAAACUGGGGGACUUGAGUACAGAAGAGAAGAGUGGAAUUCCAGGUGUAGCGGUGAAAUGCGUAGAUAUCUGGAGGAACACCGGUGGCGAAGGCGGCAUCCUGGCUCGGUACUGACGCUGAGGUGCGAAAGCGUGGGGAGCAAACAGG
This 253-nucleotide ribosomal RNA is filed under the name uncultured bacterium. RNAcentral's name for it is "partial 16S ribosomal RNA". It matches the Rfam family "Bacterial small subunit ribosomal RNA", at positions 524 to 776 of the family's 1533-position model. The record is from RNAcentral.